UGGGGAAUAUUGCACAAUGGGCGCAAGCCUGAUGCAGCGACGCCGCGUGGGGGAUGACGGCCUUCGGGUUGUAAACUCCUUUCGCUAGGGACGAAGCUUUUUGUGACGGUACCUAGAUAAGAAGCACCGGCUAACUACGUGCCAGCAGCCUCGGUAAUACGGAGGGUGCGGGCGUUGUCCGGAAUUACUGGGCGUAAGGGGCUCGUAGGUGGCUUGUCGCGUCGUCUGUGAAAUUCCGGGGCUUAACUCCGGGCGUGCAGGCGAUACGGGGGUAACUUGAGUACUGUAGGGGUAACUGGAUUUCCUGGUGUAGCGGUGAAAUGCGCAGAUAUCAGGAGGAACACCGAUGGCGAAGGCAGGUUACUGGGCAGUUACUGACGCUGAGGAGCGAAAGCAUGGGUAGCGAACAGG
This 411-nucleotide ribosomal RNA is filed under the name Actinomycetes bacterium. Its description in RNAcentral is "Actinobacteria bacterium partial 16S ribosomal RNA". It matches the Rfam family "Bacterial small subunit ribosomal RNA", at positions 355 to 776 of the family's 1533-position model. The record is from RNAcentral. Lineage: Bacteria; Bacillati; Actinomycetota; Actinomycetes.